This 442-nucleotide ribosomal RNA is filed under the name uncultured bacterium. RNAcentral's name for it is "partial 16S ribosomal RNA". It matches the Rfam family "Bacterial small subunit ribosomal RNA", at positions 338 to 795 of the family's 1533-position model. The record is from RNAcentral.
CCUACGGGAGGCAGCAGUAGGGAAUCUUUCACAAUGGGCGAAAGCCUGAUGGAGCAACGCCGCGUGCAGGAUGAAGGCCUUCGGGUUGUAAACUGCUUUUAUAAGCGAGAAAUAUGAUGGUAACUUAUGAAUAAGGAUCGGCUAACUACGUGCCAGCAGCCGCGGUCAUACGUAGGAUCCGAGCAUUAUCCGGAGGAACUGGGUGUAAAGAGUUGCGUAGGUGGCAUAAUAAGUAGCUAGUGAAAUCUGGUGGCUCAACCAAUCAGACUAUUAGCUAAACUGUUGAGCUCGAGACCGUUAGAGGUAGGUGGAAUUUCUAGUGUAGGAGUGAAAUGCGUAGAUAUUAGGAGGAACACCAAUAGCGUAGGCAGGUUACUGGGACGGUUCUGACACUAAGGCACGAAAGCGUAGGGAGCAAACGGGAUUAGAUACCCUUGUAGUC